GACGAACGCUGGCGGCGUGCUUAACACAUGCAAGUCGAACGGAAAGGCCCUGCUUUUGUGGGGUGCUCGAGUGGCGAACGGGUGAGUAACACGUGAGUAACCUGCCCUUGACUUUGGGAUAACUUCAGGAAAAUGGGGCUAAUACCGGAUAGGAGCUCCUGCUGCAUGGUGGGGGUUGGAAAGUUUCGGCGGUUGGGGAUGGACUCGCGGCUUAUCAGCUUGUUGGUGGGGUAGUGGCUUACCAAGGCUUUGACGGGUAGCCGGCCUGAGAGGGUGACCGGCCACAUUGGGACUGAGAUACGGCCCAGACUCCUACGGGAGGCAGCAGUGGGAAAUAUUGCACAAUGGGCGGAAGCCUGAUGCAGCAACGCCGCGUGCGGGAUGACGGCCUUCGGGUUGUAAACCGCUUUCGCCUGUGACGAAGCGUGAGUGACGGUAAUGGGUAAAGAAGCACCGGCUAACUACGUG
This 468-nucleotide ribosomal RNA is filed under the name uncultured bacterium. Its description in RNAcentral is "partial 16S ribosomal RNA". It matches the Rfam family "Bacterial small subunit ribosomal RNA", at positions 28 to 507 of the family's 1533-position model. The record is from RNAcentral.